CUUUAUUACCUCCUAGGUGAGGCAGUCCAGGAAAACAGUUGCUAGAAGGAGCUAUUUGCAGAAAUAGACAGUUGUGGUCCUUUCACAUUUUAAUAAUUGUUCCCUGGAUUUCAAGGAGUCCAAAAUCCCCAUAAUAGAUUUUAGUAACAUUCAUGGACUGUCGGUUUGCAUAUCAUGAGACCUUUAGUGUGGUGUUUACUCUCUUCACCCUGAUAUACUUUGUAUCCAUGAGCAUCCUUGCUACAGUUGUGCAAAGAUGGCUAUUUUUUAUUCAGCAGUAAUUAGCCACAGGGUUGAGCACUGAGAUGCUUUCCUGCAGCUUCCACCUUUUCUCU
Sapajus apella (tufted capuchin) is the source of this 335-nucleotide long non-coding RNA. RefSeq lists it as uncharacterized. Lineage: Eukaryota; Metazoa; Chordata; Mammalia; Primates; Cebidae. The transcript has 3 exons. The record is from RefSeq and is a predicted model, not a curated record.